Long non-coding RNA from Nerophis ophidion (straightnose pipefish), 3415 nucleotides. RefSeq lists it as uncharacterized. The transcript has 3 exons. The record is from RefSeq and is a predicted model, not a curated record. Lineage: Eukaryota; Metazoa; Chordata; Actinopteri; Syngnathiformes; Syngnathidae.
GACCGAGUCCACCACCUCAGCUCCCUCGGUAUAAUGACCUUUGGCCCAGUUGUUACCAGCACCGCUCUGACCUGCGCAGGGAGCAGCAAUACUUAGCCAAUCUGAACUUAAUAAAUACACACUUUUAAUUGACCCACCAAACACAAAAUUGUCUGGUCGAAAUAUCUGCCCAAAGGCUCCGGAUCUCACAGAGUCCAUGGUGCCUGGUUCCAAGUCCACAAGAACAGCGCGGGGCACAUAUUUACCGCCUUAAUGCAAAAAAUGACAAUGUAAGUCAGAAAUUGAGAGGAAGCUACAAAACCUAAAGGUAACGGUAACCUGUGGCUUCAUUGUAGUAAACAUUGAUCCUGUCCAGCUGCAGGUCACUGUCUCCGUGAUAGGUCCCGGUGGGGUCAAUGCCAUGCUCGUCACUAAUUACUUCCCAGAACUGCAAACAGAAAAGAACAUUAUCACAAUCGAACGCAAGUAAUGGGCAAACGCAGAUCAGGCGAUGUGUGUGCGGACCCCGUUUUGCAUGAAGAAGCGCAUGUAAAAUGUCCAUUUAUGAAUGACACGCUUCAUAUGAAAUGUUACCACAAAUGUAUUGCUAGCUGCUGCCUGCUCCAUCACUGAUUAGAUUAUAAUGGCAUAUUUCUCCAUGCAAUCAAUGCAAGUUUGAUUGAAAAGACAAAUUGUUCUAAUUUAAAAAGUGUGAAAAAUAUCAAUAACUGGGCAGCCCCGAGUUGGUUAUGACAGUGGUUCUCAAAUGGGUGUACGCGUACCCCUGGGGGUACUUGAAGGUAUGCCAAGGGGUACGGGAGUUUUUUUUUAAAUAUUCUAAAAAUAGCAACAAUUCAAAAAUCCUUUAUAAAUAUAUUUAUUGUGAAGUGAAUUAUAUUUAUAUAGCACUUUUUCUCUAGUGACUCAAAGCGCUUUACAUAGUGAAACCCAAUAUCUAAGUUACAUUUAAACCAGUGUGGGUGGCACUGGGAGCAGGUGGGUAAAGUGUCUUGCCCAAGGACACAACGGCAGUGACUAGGAUGGCGGAAGCGGGGAUCGUACCUGCAACCCUCAAGUUGUUGGCACGACCGCUCUACCAACCGAGCUAUACCGGGCGGUAUAGCUCGGUUGAAUAAUACUUCAGCAAAAGAUGAAUGUAUGUUCAUAAAACUGUUGACAGCUAGAUUUUUCGUGUACACGUUCCAUAAAUAUUGAUGUUUCUUUUUUUUGUGAAGAAAUGUUUAGAAUUAAGUUCAUGAAACCAGAUGGAUCUCUAUUACAAUCCCCAAAGAGGGUACUUUAAGUUGAUGAUUACUUCUAUAAGUAGAAAUCUUUAAUUAUCAUUGAAUCACUUGUUUAUUUUUCAACAAGUUUUUAGUUAUUUUUAUCUUUUUUUCCAAAUAGUUCAAGAAAGACCACUACAAAUGAGCAAUAAUUUGCACUGUUUAACAAUUUAAUGAAUCAGAAACUGAUGACAUAGUGCUGUAUUUUACUUUAUCUCUUUUUUCCAACCAAAAUGGCUUUGCUCUGAUUAGGGGGUACUUGAAUUUAAAAAAUCACUGAAAAAAGGUUGAGAACCACUGGGUUAUGAGAUUACAUAAAAAAUAUGUUUGUGUACAUAAAUAAAACAUGUCCAAUUACAACAAUUAUUAUAUAAGGGUAGAAGGCACUGUUAGGUUGCAAGUUUACAUAAAAUCUACAUUAAAAAGUGUACACAAUGUGGUGAGUAGGAUUAGCAGAAUGUUCCUUGUAGAACUACCCAAAAACAAUGGAUUGUUUCAAUGUAAGAUAUGUUUGCCAAUUGUAAUGACACCAAAAGUACAUUAACCAUUGCAAUUAUUAGCUUGUAAAGUUUACAGUACAUGCUAAAGGGCCAAACAAGGGGGUCAAUGGAGAGUAUAUUUGGAUUUAGCCUUAAAGCUAUUUAUUCAUUUUUUGUACAUCCGGGUACUGAGCCAGUACCCGGAUGUUAGUAAUAGUAAGUUAGCUGUGCGAGUGCAACAUCCGGGUACUGAGUACUGGAGUCGACACGUCCUAAAUGUCGAGUGUAAUCGUCACUCCGUCAUGUUGGCCACGGAGAAGAAGAUACUCGAGUGGAUAAAAUCCACAGUAAAUAAGGCGACGAGACGACUAAGUAUCAUUUCCGAGUCUCCUCCACUACGGCGGGCUCCUGUACGCCAAAUCGUGGCCCCCCGUGCACAAACACACUCCCCUCUGUCACAGAGGUGCGCGGCCGCCGCACGCAAGCACAUGCAAGCGUGCACGCAGAUGCUGUAUGUGCACUGUCGGUGGCGUGUUGUGGAGACAACACACUAAGCAGCACUAUGCUAGGCGAAGUAAAUGUAAGUUAACUCUGUCGUCACAACCCUGUAUCUGCCUAACAAAAUGAUGCAGCCUUUCACAGUAUGACUCAAAUCUUAAGCAAAGACUUCAAAUCGGUAAAACUAGUUAUGAACAAUAACACUCACCAUGAUGUUCUAUUUGUGUCAUAUCUUUGUUGCUCAUUUGUAAGCCAAAGUAAAAAGGCAAUGAAACAAGACGACACCUUCCUAUCGGUGGGAAUCAAUCAAUGAAAGGUAAGCCAACACAGCCGUCAUUUGGUCAACUGACUGACACGGAGAAUGGUUUGAAAUUUCUACACAGGCCUGACCAUUUGAUAAUCUUAUUUUAACUUUCUUGAGGUGAACAAAAACAUUUUUCGGAACACAUUAAAACAGUACUUCUCGUACACUCAGAUCUCGUACACCCCACUAUUGGUGUGAUUCGGUUUCAAGCAAAAAUGUUAUGUUGCAAAAUAAGUCAGCAUAGCGCCAAACAAUGUUGUAGCAAUAACAACAUUAUUGAGAGUGUUAGAGUGUGUCACUGAAUGCACCAUUUUACUCAGGUAUGUCUAGCCCAGGGGUUACCAACGCGGUGCCCGCGGGCACCAGGUCGCCCGUAAGGACCAGAUGAGUAGCCUGCUGGCCUGUUCUAAAAAUAGCUCAAAUAGCAGCACUUACCAGUGCCUCUAUUUUUAAAAUUGUAUUUAUUUACUUGCAAGCUGGUCUCGGUUUGCUCGACAUUUUUAAUUCUAAGAGAGACAAAACUCAAAUAGAAUUUGAAAAUCCCAAAAAAUAUUUAAAAGACUUGGUCUUCACUUGUUUAAAUCAAUUCAUUUAUUUUCUUUACUUUGCUUAUAACUUUCAGAAAGACAAUUUUAGGGGGAAAAAUACAACCUUAAAAAUGAUUUUAGGAUUUUUAAACACAUAUACCUUUUUACCUUUUAAAUUCCUUCCUCUUCUUUCCUGACAAUUUAAAUCAAUGUUCAAGUAUUUUUUUUUUUUAUUGUAAAGAAUAAUAAAUACAUUUUAUUUGUAUUCUUCAUUUUAGCUUCUGUUUUUUCAACAAAGAAUAUUUGUGAAAUAUUUCUUCAAAAUUAUGAUUAAAAUUUUUAAAA